This 312-nucleotide ribosomal RNA is filed under the name uncultured bacterium. Its description in RNAcentral is "bacterial SSU rRNA". It matches the Rfam family "Bacterial small subunit ribosomal RNA", at positions 32 to 324 of the family's 1533-position model. The record is from RNAcentral.
AAUCAACGCUGGCGGCGUGCCUCAGACAUGCAAGUCGAACGCGAAAGUUUCCUUCGGGAGACAAGUAGAGUGGCGCACGGGUGAGUAACACGUAGGUAAUCUACCUUUGGAUGGGGAAUAACAACCGGAAACGGUUGCUAAUACCGCAUAAUGCAGCGGCACCUAAUGGUGACAGUUGUUAAAGCGGGGGAUCGAAAGACCUCGCGUCUGAAGAGGAGCCUGCGGCGGAUUAGCAGUUGGUAAGGUAAUGGCUUACCAAGGCUACGAUCCGUAACCGGCCUGAGAGGGCGGUCGGUCACACUGACACUGACA